RNAcentral lists this ribosomal RNA (736 nucleotides) under uncultured bacterium. RNAcentral's name for it is "bacterial SSU rRNA". It matches the Rfam family "Bacterial small subunit ribosomal RNA", at positions 28 to 757 of the family's 1533-position model. The record is from RNAcentral.
AUUGAACGCUGGCGGCAGGCUUAACACAUGCAAGUCGAGCGGUAACAUUUCUAGCUUGCUAGAAGAUGACGAGCGGCGGACGGGUGAGUAAUACUUAGGAAUCUACCUAGUAGUGGGGGAUAGCUCGGGGAAACUCGAAUUAAUACCGCAUACGACCUACGGGAGAAAGGGGGCAACUUGUUGCUCUUGCUAUUAGAUGAGCCUAAGUCGGAUUAGCUAGUUGGUGGGGUAAAGGCCUACCAAGGCGACGAUCUGUAGCUGGUCUGAGAGGAUGAUCAGCCACACCGGGACUGAGACACGGCCCGGACUCCUACGGGAGGCAGCAGUGGGGAAUAUUGGACAAUGGGGGCAACCCUGAUCCAGCCAUGCCGCGUGUGUGAAGAAGGCCUUUUGGUUGUAAAGCACUUUAAGCAGUGAAGAAGACUCUUCGGUUAAUACCCGGAGACGAUGACAUUAGCUGCAGAAUAAGCACCGGCUAACUCUGUGCCAGCAGCCGCGGUAAUACAGAGGGUGCAAGCGUUAAUCGGAAUUACUGGGCGUAAAGCGAGCGUAGGUGGCUUGAUAAGUCAGAUGUGAAAGCCCCGGGCUUAACCUGGGAACGGCAUCUGAUACUGUUAGGCUAGAGUAGGUGAGAGGGAAGUAGAAUUUCAGGUGUAGCGGUGAAAUGCGUAGAGAUCUGAAGGAAUACCGAUGGCGAAGGCAGCUUCCUGGCAUCAUACUGACACUGAGGCUCGAA